GAAAAGCAAAGAACCUGGUGUUGCCUCUUUGGGUUUUUCUGAGUUGGGAGUUUGGAGGCUGAAACCAAGAGGUCAGCUGGGACUGUGGUCUCAUCUGAGGCUUGACUGGGGGAGGAUUCACUGCCAAGCUCUCAUGGUGUUGGCAGCAUGCAGCUCCCUGAUGGCUGUCUGAGGGAUGGCCCCCAUUUCUGCUGGCUGUCAGCUCCUCAACCUGCAGCCCUCUCCAAAUGAGAGCUCAAACAACAAGGCAGCUUGCUUCUUCAAAUCCACCAAGGGAUAGUCUUCUUAAGACACUGCAGACUCACUGUGUAAAAAUUGUAAAAACACAAG
This 330-nucleotide long non-coding RNA is filed under the name Homo sapiens (human). Its description in RNAcentral is "non-protein coding lnc-AJAP1-3:7". Lineage: Eukaryota; Metazoa; Chordata; Mammalia; Primates; Hominidae. The record is from RNAcentral.